GUUAACGGCGUCGAGCGGCGGACGGGUGAGUAAUGCCUGGGAAAUUGCCCUGAUGUGGGGGAUAACCAUUGGAAACGAUGGCUAAUACCGCAUAAUGCCUUCGGNNCNNAGAGGGGGACCUUCGGGCCUCUCGCGUCAGGAUAUGCCCAGGUGGGAUUAGCUAGUUGGUGAGGUAAUGGCUCACCAAGGCGACGAUCCCUAGCUGGUCUGAGAGGAUGAUCAGCCACACUGGAACUGAGACACGGUCCAGACUCCUACGGGAGGCAGCAGUGGGGAAUAUUGCACAAUGGGCGCAAGCCUGAUGCAGCCAUGCCGCGUGUGUGAAGAAGGCCUUCGGGUUGUAAAGCACUUUCAGCAGUGAGGAAGGCGGGUACGUUAAUAGCGNGNUCGUUUGACGUUAGCUGCAGAAGAAGCACCGGCUAACUCCGUGCCAGCAGCCGCGGUAAUACGGAGGGUGCGAGCGUUAAUCGGAAUUACUGGGCGUAAAGCGCAUGCAGGUGGUUCGUUAAGUCAGAUGUGAAAGCCCGGGGCUCAACCUCGGAACUGCAUUUGAAACUGGCGGACUA
RNAcentral lists this ribosomal RNA (566 nucleotides) under Vibrio sp. MR07-40. RNAcentral's name for it is "bacterial SSU rRNA". It matches the Rfam family "Bacterial small subunit ribosomal RNA", at positions 78 to 643 of the family's 1533-position model. Lineage: Bacteria; Pseudomonadati; Pseudomonadota; Gammaproteobacteria; Vibrionales; Vibrionaceae. The record is from RNAcentral.